ACCGCAAACGAGAUACGUGGUUUGGUAGUUUCACCGUCGAUAUGCAUUUAAUCAGAGGAAAGUUGGCAACGCCUGAAAGUUCAUACGGCGUUCUUCCUUAGUACUCCGAGUGGACUGACAAAUAUUAUGAUAGAUGAUGUCAUGAUGUGUCACAACACAAGUUAUACUUUCCCGGGUAAGAUAAGAUAGUGAAUAGAUUCACCUAUGCGCGCUCACAUUUUGCUAAUAACUGUGCACCAUUGAACAUACCGUGAUGUUUAUGAAGUGAAAAGCAGACUCAACAGCGUGGCGUGAGAGCCAAUGAACUCUUCACAGCCUAAUCAAUUCACAGAUCAUACGAUACUUAAACCGAGUUGCUCCGUUUGGGGGACACCCCUAAAAAUGUACACCACACUGGUGCUCUCCGUGCUGUGCGCCACGGCUUUGGGCCACCUAGUGGACCGCACCCUGGAACCGAAGUCCCACGGCCGAGACGUGGUGGAAGCGGUCAUCAAUCGGAUCAACCGGAGUGGAGUGUUCCCCGACGACCGGGACUUAUUGCGUCGUGUGGCCUAUGUUGAGAGCAAGUUCGGCGAUGACCCCACAACCUACAGAGAUGGCUACUCAGGGGGCGUUUGGCAGUUCGACCAGCUCGAGAAAACGCAACGCGACGAGGCGGAUGGUGGCACUAGCCAGGAACUGAAGGACAUUCACGCUAAUAUCAAGGAGGAGUUAGGAAUCGACUGGCUCCAGGUAAAGAAAGAAGACUUACUGAAGCCGCUUUACUCGGGACUGACCGCCAGAAUCCACCUCGAGCAAACUCAGCUGUCCCAUGGUUGGAUUCCAGCAGACAUCGACGGCCAGGCCAAGUACUGGAAGGACCACUACACAAGCAGUCAAAAGAAGGAAAACGAUUUCCAGACUCAAGUCCGCAAGCUGCUCGAAGAAGACAUGCAACCCUCUUCGACUCGCAUCGACCUGAUGAUGGUCAUGGGCGGCAGUAGCAGAAUCAGUAACCGAAAUUUCAAAAAGGGGUUGGACACCCUGGCGCGUCUGGCCGGUGUCUUCGACCGCCAGGAGGCCAACAUUGGGAUGCUCAGCUACGGCGGCGAAGAUGCUUUUGUUGAGGUUCCGCUUGUCAAUGAUUAUAGCAUGGAGAGAAUUCAGCAGAGAAUCCAGAAUGCGAUUUACCCAGCGACUUGGACUGAUGCGUACGUCGGGAUGAAAGAAGGAAUUGAACAGUUUAAAGCUUUACCAGCUACGAGAGAGGAGAGUGGUGUGCCACGGCUUAUGGUCGUAUUCGUAGAUGGGAACAGCCGCGGCUAUAUUGAACCAAGCACCGCCGCGGAAAAUGCUGCUAAAUCAGGUAUCACAACUUUCGGCUUCGGCAUACAAAAGGUAUGGUAUAUACUAACCAACAAGGAAUUGCUGGAAAUUGCGAAUAAUAAACCUGAAAAUGUUAUCCGUGCGGACACGUUUGACGAUUUUUCGGAGCAGAUAUCUCGUUUCGUUCUCCGGGCAAAAUCUAUGCCUCAAACGCCGAAAAUGGGCUGGGAAACGAAGGAGACUAUGAAAAGGGUUGGCGAGACGAGAAACUACAAGAUCAAGGUGCCAGCGAAUGGUGCGACUGUCUUACUGACCAAAGAGAGGGGACACAUCCGUGGCUUCUGGAUUAAUUCUGCUGAGCAGCCGUCAAACGCCCUUUAUGAUGGGAUUUUGAAAGAGGGAAAGACUUUUAUUCCACCACAACAAAAUGCUGACGGUGACGUGCUGAUUGCGCUUGAGAGUGUGGCGGCUGACAGCUCAGCAAGGAUAAAAAUAGUCGAAGGAAGAUCGUAAAGAAGAAAUGUCGAGGACCUAACGGAGACCGGAAGAUAAUAAUGCAUUGAAAUUUGAUUUGUAGAUUAUUUAAGAGCCUUUAAUUGAUCUUUGGAUCGUUCCAAUUAUUAUAAAAUGAGUGUAAAAUAAUAAAUCAAUAAGCAUCCUCGGUUUGUGUACAACUAUGCCUCCAUUGCCUCC
This 1998-nucleotide long non-coding RNA is filed under the name Bemisia tabaci. RNAcentral's name for it is "lncRNA ENSSSA2NGG009931". The record is from RNAcentral. Lineage: Eukaryota; Metazoa; Arthropoda; Insecta; Hemiptera; Aleyrodidae.